GCGGGAGUAGCUCAGCGGUAGAGCGUCUGCUUGCCAAGUAGAAGGUCGCGGGUUCGAUACCCGUCUCCCGCUCAA
Molecule: transfer RNA, 75 nt
Filed under: Candidatus Curtissbacteria bacterium RIFCSPLOWO2_01_FULL_42_26
Lineage: Bacteria; Candidatus Curtissiibacteriota
Description: tRNA-Gly
Rfam family: tRNA
About the family: Transfer RNA (tRNA) molecules are approximately 80 nucleotides in length. Their secondary structure includes four short double-helical elements and three loops (D, anti-codon, and T loops).
Source: RNAcentral